GACGAACGCUGGCGGCGUGCUUAACACAUGCAAGUCGAACGGAAAGGCCCUGCUUUUGUGGGGUGCUCGAGUGGCGAACGGGUGAGUAACACGUGAGUAACCUGCCCUUGACUUUGGGAUAACUUCAGGAAACUGGGGCUAAUACCGGAUAGGAGCUCCUGCUGCAUGGUGGGGGUUGGAAAGUUUCGGCGGUUGGGGAUGGACUCGCGGCUUAUCAGCUUGUUGGUGGGGUAGUGGCUUACCAAGGCUUUGACGGGUAGCCGGCCUGGGAGGGUGACCGGCCACAUUGGGACUGAGAUACGGCCCAGACUCCUACGGGAGGCAGCAGUGGGGAAUAUUGCACAAUGGGCGGAAGCCUGAUGCAACAACGCCGCGUGCGGGAUGACGGCCUUCGGGUUGUAAACCGCUUUCGCCUGUGACGAAGCGUGAGUGACGGUAAUGGGUAAAGAAGCACCGGCUAACUACGUG
Molecule: ribosomal RNA, 468 nt
Filed under: uncultured bacterium
Lineage: Bacteria
Description: partial 16S ribosomal RNA
Rfam family: Bacterial small subunit ribosomal RNA
Source: RNAcentral